RNAcentral lists this ribosomal RNA (253 nucleotides) under uncultured bacterium. RNAcentral's name for it is "partial 16S ribosomal RNA". It matches the Rfam family "Bacterial small subunit ribosomal RNA", at positions 524 to 776 of the family's 1533-position model. The record is from RNAcentral.
UACGUAGGGUGCGAGCGUUAAUCGGAAUUACUGGGCGUAAAGCGUGCGCAGGCGGUCUUGUAAGCCAGAUGUGAAAUCCCCGGGCUCAACCUGGGAAUGGCAUUUGGGACUGCAAGGCUUGAGUGCGGCAGAGGAGACUGGAAUUCCUGGUGUAGCAGUGAAAUGCGUAGAUAUCAGGAGGAAUACCGAUGGCGAAGGCAGGUCUCUGGGCUGACACUGACGCUCAUGCACGAAAGCGUGGGGAGCAAACAGG